AGGAAGCAGGAAGAAGUGGACUUUGAUUGCUCUGUGUGAGAAGCUUGUAAAAGACUCUAACGUACAAGCAUGUUUCAUACACUGUGUGUUAUGUAUGUGUGUGGUAUAAAUGCUACUGAUGGGUUGAAUCUUGUUGAAAGCUAGCAAAACAAGGGGUGGAAGUGUGUGUGUUUGUUAUGGAUCUUCUGUUUUCAGGGUUUGAGUUGGUCUUCAUCAUCAUUGCUUUUACUAUCAUGUGCUUAUUUGGCCUGACUGCAGUCUACACACAUAAUACAGAUCAUCAAGAUGACUACAUUCAGACAGAACAGAAGAUAACACAACAAAAGAACAACUCAAAGAAAAAAAGAGUUGUCACCAAAACCAAUCAAGACAUACCAUGAACACAAAAAGGAACACAUUUGAUAGAAAUACAGAAUCUCUCCAUUGGUGCUCAUUGGAUAAAAGGGCUAGUGCACCAAAUGCAGUUAACCAGCAGACAAACUGUGUCUGAAGAUCUCUGAGACUGAAAAUAGACUUGUUAUCAAACUCAUCUUUCAGUUCACCCUCAAGACACAUGUGUUUUCUCUCAGCUGUCUCUGAUUGGCUUGAAUGUAUGACACCAGUAAGUAAUUAACCAGUGAAGAAAGGCAAAGAGGAUUUAUUGAAAUUGAAGCCCCUCCCCUUUCCCCACCUAAAUCUGCUUAACAUUUGUAAUGUAAUGAUUUAAAACCUUUCUGGAGGAGCCUUAAUUUUUCACACAUAUUAUGCUUUUUGGGCAAACUGCAUCUAAAGUCUCUGGGUGGUGGUAGCCUAUAUGGCAGUAAAAGUAGGAAAAUAUAUUCCUGAAUGUAUGUUGUGAAAAAUAUAUAUAUUAUGUUAUAUAUAAUAUUUUAUGUAAUGCAUUUUUGGUUGUAAUUUAUUUAUUUAUUUUUCCACAGAAAUUUUAUAUAUUUCAAAAUAAAAAUGAGAAUAUUGCA
Ctenopharyngodon idella (grass carp) is the source of this 956-nucleotide long non-coding RNA. RefSeq lists it as uncharacterized. The record is from RefSeq and is a predicted model, not a curated record. Lineage: Eukaryota; Metazoa; Chordata; Actinopteri; Cypriniformes; Xenocyprididae. The transcript has 3 exons.